CCCUUGAAGACGACGAGGUAGAUAGGUUGGAGGUGGAAGUGCAGCAAUGCAUGGAGCUGACCAAUACUAAUCGGUCGAGGGCUUAUCCUAAAA
This 93-nucleotide ribosomal RNA is filed under the name Paenibacillus odorifer. RNAcentral describes it as "partial 23S ribosomal RNA". It matches the Rfam family "Bacterial large subunit ribosomal RNA", at positions 2835 to 2925 of the family's 2925-position model. The record is from RNAcentral. Lineage: Bacteria; Bacillati; Bacillota; Bacilli; Caryophanales; Paenibacillaceae.